Molecule: long non-coding RNA, 881 nt
Organism: Pan troglodytes (chimpanzee)
Lineage: Eukaryota; Metazoa; Chordata; Mammalia; Primates; Hominidae
Exons: 2
Source: RefSeq, a predicted model, not a curated record
GUCAUUUUGGAAAUGUAGCUUGGCGGGCAACUUUAUGUUGACUCCUAAAGUGUUGAUACAAUUUUCAGGGUUGUGCAGAAAAAGAGGUGGCAGUACAAGAUGUGAACUGGAAUCACAAAAAGGAGCCCGGUCCUGGCUCGGAGUCUCUGUCAGGUGACCUCAACUGAGUGGUUUAAUCUCCCUGGAGACUUGGGUGCUUAAUCUUUAAUAUGAAGCAGCUAAACAAGUGCCGGCCUUGAGAUAAGGAACGUUAAAACAAUUGCAACUCAUCCAGCUCACAGACAGUAACUAACUGAGCUCCUGUUCCACUCACCAUGACUACAGCUUUAACAGCACAAGAGACUGAUUUCAGUAACUUCCUCCUGACAAGAAGACCACCAACCAUGAACUGGUUUUGGCAAUUUAUAGAGACUGGGCACUUGUGUGCCUUCACGUUCUGAAAAGACCUUUUGACAUAUAAGGCCUAAUUGUAAUAAAUGUCAAUGUUAAGUGUCCACCCCAAAAUGAACAUAGGUUGUAUGUUAUAUGCAUGUUUUCUCAAUAUGCAUGUGUCAGGACCACUGUCACGAAUAUUCACAGCUCCUACUGUAACCUGCUGAAUAUGUAUGUUUAACCUACCUGUUUAGCAUAAAGCUCCUGCUCCAAUCUCUCCUUCUUCGAAGUUCCUAUCUCUGGUCUCUGACCAAAUUCAUGCUUCCUGGCCUGCAAGACGGCAACCUUGCAGGCUGUACCCCUUUAUGAGAAAUACGGUCUCCUCUAAAUUUACAAAUGUGUGACUUUUUAAAAAUUAACAACAUGAAUGUUGAAACUUCAUCAACAAAUGAAGAGAUGUCUGCUUUGUACAUCUGCGUCUGUGAAAAAUAAAAUUUCUCAAGAUCUCA